CCUACGGGAGGCAGCAGUGGGGAAUAUUGGGCAAUGGGCGCAAGCCUGACCCAGCAACGCCGCGUGAAGGAAGAAGGCUUUCGGGUUGUAAACUUCUUUUUAGAGGGAAGAGCAGAAGACGGUACCUCUUGAAUAAUCCACGGCUAACUACGUGCCAGCAGCCGCGGUAAUACGUAGGUGGCAAGCGUUGUCCGGAUUUACUGGGUGUAAAGGGCGUGUAGCCGGGCUGAUAAGUCAGAUGUGAAAUCCCGUGGCUCAACCACGGAACUGCAUUUGAAACUGUCGGUCUUGAGUAUCGGAGAGGCAGGCGGAAUUCGUGGUGUAGCGGUGAAAUGCGUAGAUAUUAGGAGGAACACCAGUGGCGAAGGCAGCCUGCUGGACUGUAACUGACGGUGAGGCGCGAAAGUGUGGGGAGCAAACAGGAUUAGAUACCCCUGUAGUC
RNAcentral lists this ribosomal RNA (442 nucleotides) under uncultured bacterium. Its description in RNAcentral is "partial 16S ribosomal RNA". It matches the Rfam family "Bacterial small subunit ribosomal RNA", at positions 338 to 795 of the family's 1533-position model. The record is from RNAcentral.